GAUAUACCCCUCCAUCUUUUCCUUCUUCUUUCUGGAACGCAACUCUUUCUCUUUUCAGUUCCUCACCAGCUUCAUCGCGCCAUCGUCACCAUCAUCCCGCCACUAGCAGCAACUACCAUCGAUGUCAAUUUCUAUAGAAGCUAAAGUUCAUCCAUUAAUCAAUGAAGGAUAUGAAGAUUUAAGUUGACUGUUUCAAGCAAAUCAUGAUUAAUAUGAAGAUUUUACCUAUAAAAUCUCAAACCCCUUAUUCACAAAUCCAAUUUCUAGGGUUGCAAAAUGAACAUUCACAGUUACAAUCUGAAGAUGCAAUCUUGCAUAUUUACUGUUGGUUUUAAUUCAAUAUGUACUCGCACCAAGAAAUUCUCGAUUGUGGGAUUAUGCCAUAUAAGGCUCAGGAUGCAGAGCAGCUUUCGAAUAUGGGGAGUUGGUUGGAGUAAGCAAUUUAGCUCCAUCAGGUGGAAACAGAAAGCAACAAAUAUGAUGCACUUCAGUUCUUCUCUUCACUACGACUUUGUUAAUGCAUUUUCGGACUUGGGACACCAGUUAAUAUGGGAGAUGAUCUGGGUGAUCGAUACUGCUUGAGUUGUGAUGGCGAAAACAAUUUUCAGGCUGGCAGCGGGUGGUGUUGGAUUCUCCAAGUCCAAUCCAGCACUUCACUUCCAUGAUGGUACUAAUUCAAUCUUCACAGCGAAAAACUUUUGGCAACUUCCAGCAAUGAUUUUGAUGCAGAUCAAAUGAUGUUCAAGAUUUUAUGGUUGACACAAUGUCAAGAAGUAGCUGCGUCAUAAUAGUAGUUCGUGUGAUAGAUUAAUAUUGUUUAUAAAUGCAAGUUAUUGCAAAAUAUCAGUUUCUUCAGAAACCAGGAGACCUAGCUUUUAUUCCCAUUUUUCUUGCAACAACAAAAUAUUUCCCUGCAUGCAGUAUGCAACACUAAUUUUGUUUGGGCAAUUAAAGUAAUGGAAUGUUA
This is a long non-coding RNA of Papaver somniferum (opium poppy), 967 nucleotides long. RefSeq lists it as uncharacterized. Lineage: Eukaryota; Viridiplantae; Streptophyta; Magnoliopsida; Ranunculales; Papaveraceae. The transcript has 4 exons. The record is from RefSeq and is a predicted model, not a curated record.